AAGUAAAAUCUGGGAUAAAGCAGGGCUGCUAACUUUGUUUUGAUUAGUUCGAUUCUGUUCUUUGCUUU
This 68-nucleotide transfer RNA is filed under the name Viana regina. RNAcentral's name for it is "tRNA-Ser". The record is from RNAcentral. Lineage: Eukaryota; Metazoa; Mollusca; Gastropoda; Cycloneritida; Helicinidae.